Molecule: long non-coding RNA, 11694 nt
Organism: Ctenopharyngodon idella (grass carp)
Lineage: Eukaryota; Metazoa; Chordata; Actinopteri; Cypriniformes; Xenocyprididae
Exons: 2
Source: RefSeq, a predicted model, not a curated record
CCCCCCAAUUAAUGUUAAAAUUAAAACAUGGAUGAAAAAUUGUGUGAUUAUUCCUUCAAAAAUAAAGUCUUAAUUAUUGUAUUAUUAUUAUUAUUAUUAUUAUUAUUAUUAGUAGUAGUAGUAGUAGCAGUAUUACAGUACAUUAUACCAUACAAUAGUAAUACAAUAGUAGUGUAUAGUACUACAAUAGUAAUUUCUCUUUGUGUGUAUGAUUACAAUAGUUUUUCUCAAAUUAAAUGGUAAAAUACUUAUGAAGUGACUCUCAGAGCAGCUCUGGAGAUGAAGUUUGUAUUCAUGUUGUAAUAUAGUCAGAUGUAAACACUGGAAAAACCUCCCUUUCUGUGUUUGUUUUUCAGUAGAUGUCAGCAAUCGUCCAAUAAACCAAGUCACAUUUUCUUAUGUCUAUCACCAUGAAUGAAAAUGAGAAAUGUAGAUCUUUUUUUAAAAUGGAUUUUACAUAAAAUGUUGCUAUUUUAUAUAAAUUUAUAUAUUUAAAUUAUUACAAAUUGAGGCAAAUAAAUAAUAAAAAAAUACCAUAAGUCCCCCAAAACUACAUAACUUUAUAAUUAAAAUGUUAAUAAAGUGAGUGAUAUUAUGUUUGUUUAAAAAAAGUUACAUUGUUACAAAAUCACAUUUUACUGUCUUAUGUAAGCUUGUCGGACAGAAAAAGGAAUGUUGUUGCCCAAUGUGUAAAAUCAUAGCAAGCAACAUAGCAUAACAUAAGUGAUAGGCCCUAUAUUAUAUCUGUAAACAAGCGUCAAUGCCUUGAACGUGAUGCGAGCAGCAAGUGGUAGCCAGUGCAGAGAGAUGAAGAGAGGUGUGACGUGGGCCCUUUUGGGCUCAUGAAAGACAUGACAUGUUGCAGCAUUCUGAAUCAUUUGUAGAAGUUUGAUUGCACACGAUGGCAGUCCAGCCAGAAGAUCAUUGCAGUAAUCAAGCCUAGAAAUGACCAGGGCCUGAACGAGAAGUUGUGUUGCAUGUUCUGUUAGAAAUGGUCUGAUCUUCCUGAUGUUGUGUAGUGUAAAUCUGCAUGACCGAGCUGUCUUUGCAAUGUGUUCUUUGAAGGCCCGUUGGUCAUCAAAGAUUACUCCAAGAUUUCUGGCCGACCUUGAUGAGGUAAUCAAUGAUGUACCUAGCUGGAUUUUGAAAUUGUGCUGUAGAUUCAGAUUGGCAGGGAAGACGAGAAGCUCUGUCUUUGCCAGGUUGAGCUGCAGGGGAUGUUCUUUCAUCCAUGCCGAGAUGUCCGCCAGACAGCUUGAGAUUCAUGCAGGUACUGUGGGAUCAUCUGGAUGAAAUGAAAGGAAGAGCUGUGUGUCAUCAGCAUAGCAAUGUUAUGAGAAACCAUGUGCCUGUAUGAUGGGAUCCAGUGAUGUAGUGUAAAUGGAAAAGAAGAGGGGUCCAAGAACUGAACCCUGAGGAACCCCCGUGAUUAGUUGAUGUGCACCUCCCCUCUCCAGGCAACCCUGAAAGACCUACCUGUGAGAUAGGAUUCAAACCAGUGAAGUGGAGUUCCUGUGAUGCCCAGUGAUGACAGGGUGGACAGAAGGAUCUGAUGAUUCACGGUGUCAAAGGCAGCAGAUAGAUCCAGCAGAAUGAUAACUGAUGAUUUGGAAUCAGCCUUCGCUAUCCGCAGGGAUUCUGUGACCAACAGAAGUGCAGUCUCUGUUGAAUGGCUGCUCUUGAAACCAGAUUGGUUGAUGUUCAGCUGGUUAUUCUGUGAGAGGAAAGAUUAUACCUGGUUGAAAACAACCUGUUCAAGUGUUUUUGCUAUGAAUGGUAGGAGAGAGACAGGUCUGUAACUGUCUACAUGUAAUGUGUUUAAUGUGGGUUUUUUAAGUAGUGGGGUUACCCGAGCCUGCUUGAAUGUGGUAGGGAAAAUGCCGGUGUGGAGAGAUGUUGAUAAUGUGUGUGAGUGCUGGUAAAAGUGUAGGAGAGAUGGCCUGUAGAAGGUGUGAGGGGAUGGUGGUAGAUAUUUCUGCCUCAGUGAGGGGAGAGAAGGAAGAGAGAAGAUUUGUGGCUGUCGAUGGUCCAAGUUCCUUUGUGUGUGGAACUGAGAACUGACUGCUGAUGGUUAAUGUUUUGUCAGUGAAGAAAUUAGCAAAAUCAUCAGCAGUUAAAGAGGUGGCGGGUGAUGGUGGAGGGGGACAGAGGAACGAGUUAAAUGUUUUGAAAAGUGUGUAUGUGUUUGAAGCGCUGUUAAUAUUGUUGUGGAAAUAUGAAAAUUUAGCAGCAGGAACAUCAUCAGAAAAGGGAGACCGAGUAUAGUUGGUGCAACAGGUAUUAAAUAUUUAUCAGACGUAGCUAACCCUAAGUCCUGCGUAGUGCUUACACCCAACUUUUUUUAUGUCCAGCUGGUGCAACUGGCCCCUAAACACUUCGAAUCUGUUAUGAAGCCCACUGUGUGAGUUGCUGUUAUGACGUCACAAUCGUGUUGCAUUGUGGUCUGUGGAUCUGCCUGAAGUGUAAAUAUGAGUAGACUCGCUCUCUUGGUCAUAAUCGAGGGGUUGAGGUUCUGUCCAAAUAAUUUUCCUUCGUCCACUUGAUGAAGUUGAAUGCAAGUUCAGAAUGCUGGUGGGAAUUCCCCCAAGGGGAAGUGCUAUGUCUAAAAGUGGAGUUAAAUGCAGCUUUUGAAGGCAGCCUUUGUUUUGCACCUUUCAUUCAGCCGGUUUUGAAGGAUGCAUCAAGUGUGUCCUUUGCAUCUUCCAAUCUCCCACAAUCCCCACAAGUAAAAGCAUGUAAACAUUUGAAAUGGUCCAUUAUUAUGGCAGCAACAGGUAAGAUGUUACAUUAAAGGGGUGGUUCAUUAUGAUUUCACUUUUUUAACUUUAGUUAGUGUGUAUUGUUGCUGUUAGAGCAUAAACAACAUCUGCAAAGUUACGAUGCUCAAAGUUCAAAGCAAAGGGAGGUAUUUUCUUUUAAAGAAUUCUGUUUAUGGACUACAACCAAAGAAUAUAGAACCCAAGAGGUGAAAUUCUUAUCCUUUUUGGGCAACAGCCACUAGAUGGCGCUCUGGUAGCGCAGCCGCCAUUAUGGGGUGAAAAUACCAACUGGAGAGUAUAGAACCCAAGAGGUGAAACUCUUAUCCUUUUUGGGCAACAGCCGCUAGGGCUGCGUUCCACUCCAGUUUUAGACACGCACACUUCCCUAAGCACUUCCCCUCGGGGGAAUCCCUGCCACCAUUUUGAAGUGCGUUUCACUUCGUGACGUGAACGAAGGAAGUUUAUAUGGACAGACCCUUGCUCCCUCGAUUUUGACCGAGGGAGCGAGUCUAUAUAUAAAUUGUUUUUUUAAAUAUUUAAAACACACUUAUAUACAUAUAGAAUGCUGCAUUAGACAAUUUUGUAAGGGGAAAAAAUAAAUAAUAAAUCAGCUCCAUUGCGGAUUCCAAGUGAUCAAGGGCUUAGGACUUUCCAAUUCAGCCCAUUGCAAAGUUUUCGCCAGUAGUGGGCACUCAUGCAACGUAAGCAAUGACGUACAUCCGAGUCAACGAGACUGAGGGAAGUUAGCGAGGGAAGGGCAUUUAAAAAACGAACUGGAACGCAACUGGAACACCAUUAUGGGGUGAAAAUGCCAACUGGACCAUAGAAUCCUUCACAUCUUACGCACCCAAAAUCUGUGAAUUUCACAACUAAAUCAGGGGCCGUAUUCACAAAACAUUUUAUCUUACCACUAAGAGUUCUUAGCUUAAGCUAAGAGUAGGGGCGGGGUUGACCUCGUAUACACACAGUGAUUGGCUGAUGGGGGAGGUGUAGAAUAAAUAUUGUAGAAUGAGGUGUCAUGUAUCCAUAUUAAAAUAAAGGUUCUAAAAAUAGAAAUGUUGCCCUAUUCAAAUAUUUUUUUUAAUAAAAUGUUGCCGUAUUCAAAUAAAGGUUUUAAAAUGAAGGCUAAGUGUCACUAAUUAAACUAGUAUAUACAGUUAAUUGUCCGCCUCUUGGAUGUCUGCAUCUCGAGAGAUUGCAGAAUUAAAGCGACAAAUUAUGUUUUAUAAACAAAGUCUGAGAGGAAUGCAUUCAAACGGUCUAUCUAAUCAGCUCGAGAGGAGGAAUAUAUAUACAGACAAGAGCCGACUCGCCUAUAGUUACUUCGACAGUUUUCUGCAUCCCUCCACUACCCUGCUCCUCACUCUCGGCUGGGGUCCUGGGGAUACGGGGAGAACUUUGGGUUUGGGCUAAAUUCCAAGCUCGGAGCCCUCGAUCCCCUUGGACAGCAUGCCAAAUACGCUUUUUAUAUAUAUGUUUUUUACUCUAUUCAAUCAUUUGUAAGUGUGAACUCAUGAAAACCACUGCCACAGGUAAUCGGACAAUAUUUAUUUGUUAAAGAUUUAUUUUUGGCAUCUCAUCGUAGAUUCAAAUCUAUAAAUCAAAAUGUAUUGCAUUUAUGAAGAAAAACUUCAGCACCUAAGGCUCUCACUACUGCCUCAUGGUGUACAGUGUCUUUAGGUGGAUUAGGACUGUUUGUGAUUUGGUCUUAGUGACUUAGGAGUCCUCUUGACUACUCCUAACGUUUAACAGAUUUAGGAGCUAGUUUUAGCGCUAAAAUGCUUUGUGAAAUACUCUUAGAGCAAAAAUUUAGGACUCCUAAAAUUAGGACUGACACGCCCAUUAUUUUUAAGAGUUUCUCCUAAAUUGGCAAUUUAGGAGCUACUUUUAGCCUUAAAGGGUUAGUUCACCUGAAGCAGUGUUUUGAAAUCGGCCAUCACUAAAUAAGUCGUUAUUUUGUUUUUUUUGGCGCACCAAAAAUAUUCUCGUCGCUUUAUAAUAUUAAUAUUGAACCACUGUACUGUACUGUAUUUAAAUAUGUUUUUAGUAUCUUUAUGGAUCUUGAGAGAAGAAAUGUCAUUGCUCCCUAUGUAGGCCUUACUGAGCCAUCGGAUUUAAACAAAAAUGUCUUAAUUUGUGUUCUGAAGAUCAACGAAGGUCUUACGGGUGUAAAACAGCACGAGGGUGAGUAAUUAAUGACAAAAUUUCCAUUUUUUGGGUGAACUAACCCUUUAAGAUGUUUUGUGAAUACGGCCCCUGAAGCGCAAUAGAACAUUUUUCAAAUUAAAUUUUAUGGCACCUACAGUAAAUGUUGUAUUGUCUUAUACAUGUUUUAUUUUACCAGUUGUGUAAUCCAACCAUUCAUCCAUUUGAGGUAACGUAGUUAGCCUACUUUGAGUAUUUCCAUUUUAUUCAACACUACACAUUUAUUAAUAGUAAAUUAAUAAUGAAUACAUUUAAGAUCAUCACGUUUGCAGCGAACAAUCUAGAUCAGACCUAAUGGAGUAAUAAUAGUAUUACUCCACUAUCUGAAUUGAAAUAUAUAUAUUGUACGUUUUAAUGGAUCACGCUACAAACAUAAUGAUCUUAUAAUACAUGGUGCAUUUCUGUGUCCGUUAUCACAUAAUUCCCACUUUUGGGCACUUUUGCUUUAACAUACAACACUGCAAAAACAAGCUGUUAUUUUUUGUUAUAUUUAUUGUCCAACAUUCCCAAUUUUUCUGAUGCAUGUCCUUAAUUUAAUUUCAUAUGUUGGUAUUAAUUCAGUGUUUAUAAUGCUAAUACUUGAACUUCAAAGAAGUUUAAGUCAAACUGACUGGGUUUCUAGAGAGCAAAGGUUUUGUGAAAAAAGUGGAAGACUUAAAGUCUGUAAAAUAAACUGUUAAAAGGAUUUGAUGAUUACUAGUGUUGUCAUUCAGGUUGGAUUUUAGCUUUAAUGUACUUUAUUUAUUUAUUUAUUUUUUUAUUAUUAACAAAGCAGCUGGUAUUGCCAUAGAAACUAGUGGACCGACGAGUCACUUUCACGUCAAAAUGGCGAAAACGCAGGGCUGCUGCUGGGCGCCGGUGUUGCAAUGGAACGUUCUAUUGAGUUUCGCUACAACGAGCUUCUUCCUGGGUUGGUGACAUCACUAACCCUAAAAUUUACAUAAACCCUGCCCCCGAGAACACGCGUCAAAGGGGUGACGCCAUGUUAUUGCAAUACAGUACGUAACACAAAUGCAAUAGCAUGUCAUAAAAGCAAGAUGACAAGAUGACAAAUUAUAACUAAUUAUUUAAUAAUUAACUAAACUAUACCUGUUCUAUCUUCAUGCAGCAUAUAUUCUCUGGCUCUGUAGGCAUCUUACAACAGUUCCCACACGAGCGAUUUAUAGAUUAUCAUGACAGAAUAUGCUAAUCAAUGACUUUAAAGGGGGGUGUAAUGCUAUUUCAUGCAUUCUGACUUAUUUACAUUCUCAUGCUAAACAUGGCCAAAGUUUCAAAACACGAGUUGGACAUAUGACGGAGUAUUUCUGUGCCAAAUAUACAACUUCCGGUUGUGGACAUGUUUUGCUGAAUUUUUUUCGAGUAUGGCCUGUAUGACGUCAUAAAAGGGUGGAAUUCCUUGUAUAAGCACUUCUCCCUGAUAAGCAUUCACACACAUCACCCAGAGCAAGAGCACGCCCAUCAACGCGUUUCAUUCGGGAUACGGAAGCAGAGAGAUUUUUCAACAAUGGCUGUGUCCCAUUUCAGGGGCUGCACUCUUUGAAGGCUGCUUACAUCAUCGAGGCAGUCUCAUUUAAGAAAAAUAACCAUUAGAUUGCAAAGUAAGAAAGAAAUUACAGUAUUUUACACCUCACAGUGAAUAUCAGUCAAUUUUAUUACGGUCACUUUUCUUAAAUAAGACAUCCUUGAUGACGUAUGCAGCCUUCGAAUUGAGACCAGGCUCCUGUCAACAAAGGAGUGUUUUUUUGGUUGUGAGAGAAAGAUUACCUUUUUGAGCUUCCCAAAGAACCCAGCGUUAAGGGAACAGUGGAUGAAGUUUGUUUUUCCGGGGCAGCAAUGGAGUUGUGCACGUAUGUUUGUUUGUUCCCAGGAUUUCAGUGAUAAAUACUUUGUAAACAAGUCCCAGUUCGGCGCUGGAUUUGCAGAUCGCGGGUGCUAGCAGACGAUCUCUACGCAAAAGCUGCGCACACUCGUGACUCUUUAGCUCUGCCCACGGCACUGACGCCAGGCACGCCUCCAGGAGCUCGGCUUUUUUCGGAAAGACUCUGUACAGCGUAUCUAUCUUUUAUAAAUAUGAUAAAACUAAAGACUUUUCGGAGAUAUGAAGGUGCAAUAUUACUCUAUAUGUACCCAAGGUUAACGUGAGAUUGGCAGAAACUGUGUGUGAUAUCCCACAUCAGCUAUAUAAAUUAAGCAACUAACCAUUCAGAAACAUCCUGUUGCAUUCUACAUGUUGUCACUUAUUCUUGAGUCUCUCCAUCAUAGUCCAACUUCAGUUUGAACAUAAAGGCUGAACAGUUUCUGACAUUUUGGUGCUGCUAACACUAUGUGCUAACAGGAGCUAGAGGUCUGCAGCUAUUCAUGAAAACUUAACCCGAACCGAAACCCGCGAGUUCUUCGGGGCCCGUUGGGCUCGGGUCGGGUUCAGGUUAAGUUUCAAUGAAUAGUUUCGGGUUAGGGUUAGUCUGUAACUGAGAAAAACUAUAUAGGCUGUUAGAAGAUGCCACACAAGGCUUAUAUGUGUUGUGCUUGAAAGAGCGUUCGAGAGUGGGAACACAUUUAUAAUUCACAAUUAGAUAUUAACUGUUUUGCACAUGUGCUCCCGCUCUCGCGCACUCUUUCGGUCACAACACGGCACAUGACACUCAAACCUAUGAGUGCGAUAAGGCAAACAAUUACUGAGGGAAAACUUAUUACAGUGCCAAAUGAUGCAGGGAAAGCAAAUUAAGCCAGUUGAAAAACAUGGGAUGAUGUGAAUUAUUCUGGCCCACCCACCAUCCACUUUCUGCCUCCGCCACUGGUUUGAAGUAUAUCGGGGCCUUCAGACCCGCCUUCUUUGAUUAGAUUGGCCAUCUCACUCAUUUUGACAUUGACUAGCGCUGUUAGACUGUUAAGACAGAGCAACCUGAAAGCUUUUAAAACUUUUUGUCAUCCAAAUAACAAACAGAGCUGCACGUAAUGGAGUGCAGAGAAGCAUCAUAUCAAAUAUUGAGGGACAAUUUGGAUAUUUCUAAUUUUUGAGGAGACUUGUCCCUCUAAAUGUCUAUGGUGGCUAUAUAUCUAAAAUAUACUCUACAUUUCAGAGAAUGGGUUCCUUUUCUUUUUUAUAGUAUUUAAAAAUGUCUUAGUUUAUUUAUUCUACUCAUUAAAAUGAUAGGAUAAAACAAAUAAAAUGAGAAAAUUGUGAAUUAUAUAAUUUAUUUUUAUUCAUAGCUCCCACAAAAUCAUAAAUGGCUCUGCACAGCCCAAAAUGUUGCCUUUGAGUCAAAGAUUCAAUGGCCCAUUCCUAAACACCUGCCUCAUUUUUCAAUGAAUCAGCUGUUUGAACGAAUUGUUCGAAUGAAUGACUAAGACAGUCACUUACUGCCACCUACUGGCGGUUCAGUUUCAUGUUUAAAAGUAUAAUUUUCCCAACAUUUCUUAUUUGUAUAAUAAAAAAUAUUUAAAGAAUCUAAUAAAAUGUUUUUCUUAUUGAAUUUAUUGAUCAAUUGUAAAAAUGUGAAAUAAAAGAUGAAGCAUAUAUUUAAUAAGAUUAGGGGAAAGCUUUAUAAAGGUAAAAAAAAAAAAAAAAAUGUCCUUGGGGUAAAUAUCAUAAAUAUGCAAAUUUAAAUAUGUAAAAGCUGAUGGAACUCUGUUGAGAAUAUUGCUUCAAAAUAAAUUAUAUUUACACCACGAAUAAAUCCUUUUUUUUUUUUUUUUUUUUUUUUUUUUUUUUUUUUUUCCCAAGACAAGUGAAUGACUGAUUUACUUGUCCAAAGGACAAGCACAUGACAGGGCUUAAUGCUGAACACUGUAUUUUGUAUUUAUAUGCUCUCCUUUAGGCCUACAGAAAGAUUUUAUUAUCAGAUGUAGCUUUGCACACUACCAGCAUCUAGAAUGAUUUUGAUCAGCAUUUUAGUAUUCAUAGCAGAGGGCUUUGUCAACUUAUAUUUUAAAGUUUGUCAGUCGAUAAGAUUUUGUAGGCUUUGCAUACACACGUGCACCCCUUGAAAGCCUGAAACCACAAGGCCCCCCACAUAACAAAUCCCAAUUUAACCCCUGCUAACACCACAUGGAAAAUAUGACUGACAAUAUUUAAUAGUAUGUAGCAACAUGCAGAGCGUGCAUGAGAGCGGUUUCUGCAUCGAACGCUGCUAUGAGUUUAACAACGCUCGCAACAUGGUGCAUAGAUUAUAUACGGGCUGGAGUAAGCGCUUUUCAAGUUAUAGACAUAUUGCAAAUAGCGUUGUCUGCAUCUAGUUUUGUGAAAUGUAACCACACUUCAGAAAGUUUAGCCAUUGCCCUGUGUGUUGUGGUUGUGUUCUCUCUCAAUUCAAUUCAUUUCAGUUCAAUUCAUUUCAAUUUAGUUGAGCUUUAUUGGCAUGACUGUGGGAUAGCACAAUGUUGCCAAAGCAAUAAACAUGCAGUGCUUCCCACACAUACAGGUGCUGGUCAUAUAAUUAGAAUAUCAUCAAAAAGUUGAUUUAUUUCACUAAUUCCGUUCAAAAAGUGAAACUUGUAUAUUAUAUUCAUUCAUUACACACAGACUGAUAUAUUUCAAAUGUUUAUUUCUUUUAAUUUUGAUGAUUAUAACUGACAACUAAGGAAAAUCCCAAAUUCAGUAUCUCAGAAAAUUAGAAUAUUACUUAAGACCAAUACAAAGAAAGGAUUUUUAGAAAUCUUGGCCAACUGAAAAGUAUGAACAUGAAAAGUAUGAGCAUGUACAGCACUCAAUACUUAGUUGGGGCUCCUUUUGCCUGAAUUACUGCAGCAAUGCGGCGUGGCAUGGAGUCGAUCAGUCUGUGGCACUGCUCAGGUGUUAUAAGAGCCCAGGUUGCUCUGAUAGUGGCCUUCAGCUCUCCUGCAUUGUUGGGUCUGGCAUAUCGCAUCUUCCUCUCACAAUACCCCAAAACCUUUGCCCAUCAGUUUUGGCCACUAUGUUUGGUGUGGUAAGUUUAGAAAUAGUACUAUUUAAGAGCCUGUUUACUGUAGACUGAUGGGUCCAAGUCAUCACCGGUGCACUGCUGCAUUUUUCCAGUUACCAAAAAAAAAAAAGAAAAGGUAAUUACUAUUUCAUUUCUACAGUCAGAGCAUUGAUUUGUAGAGUGGGAGAAGUUGUUACAUUUAAAGUUAUAAAAAGUUUAUUCAAAGUCAUUAAAUGUAUUAAAAUGCAUUAAACAUAUUAAUUAUUGUUUAAGUAAUAUUUAUUACAUUUAUUUAAAGUUAUUACAUUUCUUAUUAGGUCAGUUACAAAAAGAAUUGACAAUCAAGUUUAUAUCAUUUUAUCAACUCCAUGUCAUCAUAUAACUCCAAUACUUCAUAUCUUCAUUGGAAAGCGUGUGUCUCCUCUUCUUUGCUGCCAUCUUGUUACUCCUAAUAGGUUAGGAGACCUCUCCAGCACUCUUACAUAAUUUAGGAGCUAAGACCUAGUCUUGACACUUAGGAACCUUUAUGAAUCAUACUUAUUCUUAAGUCUAGGAAUAAGAGUAAAUUACGUCAUUCUUAGAAUUUUGACACACUUAAGACUAAAAUUUUACUCUGAGCGGCUUUAUACAUACAGGCCCUGGUCUGAAGACAUCUACAUGCAAAUAUUCAGUUGCAAUCAUAGCGCCACCUGCGGGCAACAGGAAAUGACAUGUUUUACACUGUGAUUAACUCCUCAUAAAGAUUUAACCAGAACAUCAUCAUAUAUCGUCAGUCUAAUCUUAAGGCCUUAAGGAUGAUAAAUUGCAAAGAUCUAGAGUUUUCGUUGAAGGACGUGUCUGUGGCAGCCUGACAAAGUCUGAUAUUUUGCCAUAAAAGAGGAAGCUGUUGUAACUCAGGCGUACAAUGUCCGAUCUGUCAAUUCAAUUCAAUUCAAUUCAAUUCACAUUUAUUUGUAUAGCGCUUUUCACGAUACAUAUCGUUUCAAAGCAGCUUUACAGAGAAUGCAUGUCAACAUUACAAUUUGGAGAAUGCAGUUAGCUAAUAAUGUAAUAAUUUAGGUGAUUAAUAUACAAUCACUGUUUGCAAUUUAAUUGAAGGUAGAAGCAAAGAGCUCCUGGAAAAAUGAAUUACAUAUUAACAAUAAUUAGGAUAAUUAGGAUCUGUCCUGGCCUAAAGACAUCUAUAUGCCAAUAUUCAGUUAGUCAUAGCGCCACCUGCUGGCAACAGGAAAUGGCAUGCUUUACACUGUAAUUCACUCACAGAAAAACAUUUCAAUAUGCCACGAAGUGCCAAACAUACUAGAAACAUGUUAAAUCAUGCAAAACUUGGCCAUUUGUUAAUGUAUGCGAUUAACGCCAUGACAAAGGAAGUUGUUGUAACUCAGGCAUACAAUGUCUGAUCUGCUCCAAACUUCACAUGUUUGAUAAUAGUCCUGGCCUGAAGACAUCUACAUGGCAAUAUUCAGUUACAGUCAAAGCGCCACCUAUUGGCAGCAGGAAGUGUGGCACUUUGAAAUGACUUGGCCAUAUUUCCCUUGUAUUUACUCGCUUACAUGCAUGUAACCCAUUGUUCACUCUUUUCCUAAGGCCAACGGGUGGCGGUGAGCCUGGGUGCGAGGGCCCUUUCAUCGCUGCUUGCAGCUUUAAUUUGAAUUAUUAUUUUUUUUUAAUGAUUUAAAGACUUCGCUUCAUUACUGUACUACAUUCCAUUACUGGAUGAAUCAGCGUUUCAAAUGUUUUGCUCUCUUCACAGAAACAUAAAAUGGUAGACAAGUAUGUCUCGUUUUCUUAUUUUUUAUUUUUUUAAUCUAUUAUUGUCAUGGUAGGUU